UCAUGGCUCAGGAUGAACGCUAGCGGCAGGCCUAACACAUGCAAGUCGAACGGUAACAUAGAUUGCUUGCAAUCUGAUGACGAGUGGCGCACGGGUGCGUAACGCGUAUGCAAUCUACCUUUUACAGGAGAAUAGCCCAGAGAAAUUUGGAAUAAUGCUCCAUAAUAUCAUGUAUCAGCAUUGAUUUAUGAUUAAAGCUCCGGCGGUAAAAGAUGAGCAUGCGUUCUAUUAGCUAGUAGGUGAGGUAACGGCUCACCUAGGCUACGAUAGAUAGGGGCCCUGAGAGGGGGAUCCCCCACACUGGUACUGAGACACGGACCAGACUCCUACGGGAGGCAGCAGUGAGGAAUAUUGGAC
This 357-nucleotide ribosomal RNA is filed under the name uncultured bacterium. RNAcentral describes it as "bacterial SSU rRNA". It matches the Rfam family "Bacterial small subunit ribosomal RNA", at positions 17 to 369 of the family's 1533-position model. The record is from RNAcentral.